RNAcentral lists this small nuclear RNA (98 nucleotides) under Equus asinus (donkey). The record is from RNAcentral. Lineage: Eukaryota; Metazoa; Chordata; Mammalia; Perissodactyla; Equidae.
GUACAUAUACUAAAAAAAAAAUUGGAACGAUACAGAGAAGAUUAGCAUGGUCCCUAUGCAAGGAUGACAUGCAAAUUCGUGAAGGAUUCCAUAUUUAC